AUGAGCACAAAACCGACAGGAAAGCGGUGCGUGUUGGACCUCGUGUAUAUAUUCUCAGUAAAAGAACGCUCUCAGUACAUUUUUAAAGGAGAGCAUUUGUGCGUAGUUUGGCGCACAGGCGCUGUUCUACAUUUGAUCUCGUCGCUGUUACGUGAUGUGUUUUAUUUUGAAGGCGAGAUCCUCUCGACAUCCUGUAUCUGUCCCGUCCAUCCGUGGCGCUUGACUCGAGCGGCCGUCCAUUCAAAGAGCCUAUUCCUGUGCGACAGACGGGGGCGCGCAUCAGGCCACCUCCUCCUCUUCGUGUCCACGGUCCGGGGGGAGGCCACCGGCGAGGCCCACACAUCCCAGAAUGCACCCUGGCUGCUUAUCUGCUCCAUCCACCACCCCCAACACACACACACACACACACACACACACACACACACACACACACACACACACACACACACACACACACACACACACACCUCUGGUGGAGCUGGAGCUGAGGUUUGAUGACGCUGUCGCUCGUUCGCUGCAGCGGCGCCUUCCUUCCAGGACACCUCUUCGUCGCGCCCUUGUCUCCGCAGCCGGAGCGAGUCCAGCCAUCAAGGUUAUCUCCCCUCAGCGUCUCUUUCAGCCCCCCUCACAGAGUUACAGCACGUGUUCGCAUGAAUAUUAACGCCCGCCUGCAAAGCUACGAGGUGCAUGGCGCUACUGUAUGCGGCCGCUCCAUAAAUCCCCCGCACUGUACGACACAAACAUGGCCGGUGAUGUGGGGCCGCGAGGCUCUCUGGGACUUUCAUGCUCAAAUGUCAGAGCAUUUCAUCCUGAUGACUAUGACUCACUCCCCUCGCUCUGAGUCUGCAUGAAAGAACAACGGCGCCAAUUAACUGCCUAAGCUCCUCACAUGCAACAGUAGAAAACAGCCUCUGUAUCAAAUAAUAUACCAGGACACACACACACAGUGACAUAUUUUACACAUAUGUAUGUUUAAACAUAGUAAAUAUCUACAUUCUUCUUCACCCGGUGAGAAUCUCCCACUACCUCAGCCACACUGACAAGUGGCUGCAUGUGAAAACAGAGCAAGACUCAGCACUCAUCAACAUGCUCUACUAGAGGCCUAAUGGCCCCUGGGUAAUGGCCUCUUUGGUCUUCAGGAAAUCCUCCCUCAUGCAUACAUCAAAGCUGGGAUUGAGAAGGAUCGAGAGUAGAAAGCAGGGGAGAGAAAUGAGACACCAGCGCCUCACGCAGAGGGAAACUGUGCUGUUCGGUCAAUCCAACACAUGUGAAAUAAACACUACAGCUGUAUUAGCUUCA
RNAcentral lists this long non-coding RNA (1299 nucleotides) under Betta splendens (Siamese fighting fish). RNAcentral's name for it is "lncRNA (ENSBSLG00000020122.1)". The record is from RNAcentral. Lineage: Eukaryota; Metazoa; Chordata; Actinopteri; Anabantiformes; Osphronemidae.